UAGGGAAUCUUCGGCAAUGGACGAAAGUCUGACCGAGCAACGCCGCGUGAGUGAAGAAGGUUUUCGGAUCGUAAAACUCUGUUGUUAGAGAAGAACAAGGACGUUAGUAACGGAACGUCCCCUGACGGUAUCUAACCAGAAAGCCACGGCUAACUACGUGCCAGCGGCCGCGGUAAUACGUAGGUGGCAAGCGUUGUCCGGAUUGAUUGGGCGUAAAGCGAGGGCAGGCGGUUUCUUAAGUCUGGUGUGAAAGCCCCGGGCUCAAGCGGGGAGGGUCAUUGGAAACUGAGAGACUAGAGUACAGAAGAGGAGAGUGGAAUUCGAUGUGUAGCGGUGAAAUGCGGAGAUAUAUGGGGGAACACCAGUGGCGAAGGCGGCUCUCUGGUCUGUAACUGACGCUGGGACUCGAGAGCGUGGGGAGCAAACAGG
RNAcentral lists this ribosomal RNA (429 nucleotides) under Gemmatimonadota bacterium. Its description in RNAcentral is "Gemmatimonadetes bacterium partial 16S ribosomal RNA". It matches the Rfam family "Bacterial small subunit ribosomal RNA", at positions 355 to 776 of the family's 1533-position model. The record is from RNAcentral. Lineage: Bacteria; Pseudomonadati; Gemmatimonadota.